CGUGACAGUCUGGCUCAUGUUUCUUCAUAAAGCUCUAAGCCAGCUAUUAAUAACAGCCCAGAGAGUCUUCUGAUCCACCUAAGAGCAUAUGGUGUUUUUCACAAAAGGGAAGAGAGAUCAUCUUCUUGACUUUGGACUUUGCUUACGGAGCCCCUGAACAGAGGACCUGCUCGGUCCUUGUGAGCUCAGCUGAAACCAGACAAUCCAGUCGUGCUUCAGGACCAGCGUAGCUUCCUGCUAAGGGUGCAUAUACUCAGUGCUCUCGAACACGUGCGCCAGGCUUCUAAACAACAUGUGGAAGGGAGGCAUGACAGCCAACUGGAAGCAGGCAGACGCUGGCCUGGUGUGGAGCCCUGGCUUGGAGACUAACCCACUGUGGACCGAGGUUGCUAAGAGACCACCUGUGCUGAGUGCACUUUGUUCUGGCCAGAGUUUACGGAGAGAACACCAAGGAGCAGGGCUACCUACCACUACCUGGGAUUAAGCCAGGGAGCAAGAGCAUUCUGGAUAAGAUGUGUAAAAACUGGAUAUUAAUGUCUACUACUAUUCCCGCAAGUCCAGAAGAUGAAAUUAUUGGAAGACUUCUAAAAAUUUUGUUUGUUCUCUUUGUCGACUUUAUGUCUAUUAUAUAUGUCAUUGUAACUUCCUAAAGAGCUGAAUUCCCUUGCUUUACAUGUAAAUUUCACAUUAAUUCCACUGAAUAAAAAUUUGUAGUUCAAUAUGUUGAGUGAUUUUAAUUUGAUCUCCAGUUAUUCUAGAAGCCAAAAGGACAUUCAAUCAAAACAAUAUUGUGUAUUGUUUAGAACCUAAGGUUUAUAAAACAUCGUAAAAAUUAAUGUCUUUUUUUCCCCAGAAAUCUACACUACC
RNAcentral lists this long non-coding RNA (867 nucleotides) under Ailuropoda melanoleuca (giant panda). Its description in RNAcentral is "lncRNA (ENSAMEG00000027352.1)". Lineage: Eukaryota; Metazoa; Chordata; Mammalia; Carnivora; Ursidae. The record is from RNAcentral.